UAUCUAAACGGGGAAAUUCAAUACCGAACUUAACACUCGGUGUGCACUUUUCCCUUAGUAAGACGCCGUGAUCCAUUAGAAAUUGGUAGACGCCAGUCUAUAUUUGGUCAUCAAUGGGUCCGUACGAAGUUUAUUGGAACAAAUGGCGCGAUCUUUCAACGGUUGUGUGUAUUGUCUAGUAAGCGUGCGGGUGCUCGUAUAAUGACUGUCUGAUGGAUUUUAAAGAUCAUAUUAUGGAUGUCUUGUGCAUCCCUCGCCUCGCGGCGAGAAUGAAUAUGUAUCCGAUCAACGGUGGUUAAAUUUGGGAUACCUUUUGGACCCGUCUUGAAACACGGACCAAGGAGUCUAUCUAAUGUGCGAGUAAAUGGGUGCUGUAAACCUAUUUGCGUAAUAAACGUAACUAUAUUAUGGGAUUACGAGACGGCCAUUGGUCAUCUCUUCCAUCCCGGAGUACUUUUAUCAACAUAUGCGCAAGCAUAUGGAAAGUAUAUCAUGAGCAUAUUGGAUACGACCCGAAAGAUGGUGAACUAUGCCUGAUCAGGUCGAAGUCAGGGGAAACCCUGAUGGAGGACCGAAGCAGUUCUGACGUGCAAAUCGAUUGUCAGAAUUGGGCAUAGGGGCGAAAGACCAAUCGAACCAUCUA
RNAcentral lists this ribosomal RNA (643 nucleotides) under Rheotanytarsus tamasecundus. RNAcentral describes it as "partial 28S ribosomal RNA". It matches the Rfam family "Eukaryotic large subunit ribosomal RNA", at positions 435 to 946 of the family's 3401-position model. The record is from RNAcentral. Lineage: Eukaryota; Metazoa; Arthropoda; Insecta; Diptera; Chironomidae.